RNAcentral lists this small nuclear RNA (105 nucleotides) under Amborella trichopoda. Lineage: Eukaryota; Viridiplantae; Streptophyta; Magnoliopsida; Amborellales; Amborellaceae. The record is from RNAcentral.
AUUUCUUUGGAGACAUCCAAUAAAAUUGGAACGAUACAGAGAAGAUUAGCAUGACCCUUGUGUUGAAAGAUGACAUGCACAAAUCAAAAAAUGGUCCAAAUGUUU